This 488-nucleotide ribosomal RNA is filed under the name uncultured bacterium. Its description in RNAcentral is "partial 16S ribosomal RNA". It matches the Rfam family "Bacterial small subunit ribosomal RNA", at positions 36 to 507 of the family's 1533-position model. The record is from RNAcentral.
UCCUCCCUCUGGCGGCGUGCUUAACACAUGCAAGUCGAACGCGCCUGUCCUCUGGGUUUCUGGGGGGUGGGUGAGUGGCGAACGGGUGAGUAACACGUGAGUAACCUGCCCCCUUCUUCGGGAUAACGGUCUGAAAGGGCUGCUAAUACCGGGUAUUCACUGGUCUCCGCAUGGGGUCUGGUGGAAAGGUUUUUUUCUGGUGGGGGAUGGGCUCGCGGCCUAUCAGCUUGUUGGUGGGGUGAUGGCCCACCAAGGCUUUGACGGGUAGCCGGCCUGAGAGGGUGACCGGUCACAUUGGGACUGAGAUACGGCCCAGACUCCUACGGGAGGCAGCAGUGGGGAAUAUUGCACAAUGGGAGCAAGCCUGAUGCAGCGACGCCGCGGGAGGGAUGGAGGCCUUCGGGUUGUGAACCUCUUUCGCCCGUGGUCAAGCCGCGACGUGGGUCGUGGUGAGGGUAGUGGGUAAAGAAGCGCCGGCUAACUACGUG